This 465-nucleotide ribosomal RNA is filed under the name Vreelandella stevensii. Its description in RNAcentral is "partial 16S ribosomal RNA". It matches the Rfam family "Bacterial small subunit ribosomal RNA", at positions 338 to 795 of the family's 1533-position model. Lineage: Bacteria; Pseudomonadati; Pseudomonadota; Gammaproteobacteria; Oceanospirillales; Halomonadaceae. The record is from RNAcentral.
CCUACGGGUGGCAGCAGUGGGGAAUAUUGGACAAUGGGCGAAAGCCUGAUCCAGCCAUGCCGCGUGUGUGAAGAAGGCCUUCGGGUUGUAAAGCACUUUCAGUGGGGAAGAAAGCCUUGGGGCUAAUACCCUCGAGGAAGGACAUCACCCACAGAAGAAGCACCGGCUAACUCCGUGCCAGCAGCCGCGGUAAUACGGAGGGUGCGAGCGUUAAUCGGAAUUACUGGGCGUAAAGCGCGCGUAGGCGGUCUGAUAAGCCGGUUGUGAAAGCCCCGGGCUCAACCUGGGAACGGCAUCCGGAACUGUCAGGCUAGAGUGCAGGAGAGGAAGGUAGAAUUCCCGGUGUAGCGGUAAAAUGCGUAGAGAUCGGGAGGAAUACCAGUGGCGAAGGUGGCCUUCUGGACUGACACUGACGCUGAGGUGCGAAAGCGUGGGUAGCAAACAGGAUUAGAUACCCGUGUAGUC